UACGUAGGGUGCGAGCGUUAAUCGGAAUUACUGGGCGUAAAGCGUGCGCAGGCGGUCUGUUAAGACCGAUGUGAAAUCCCCGGGCUCAACCUGGGAACUGCAUCUGUGACUGCAUCGCUGGAGUGCGGCAGAGGGGGAUGGAAUUCCGCGUGUAGCAGUGAAAUGCGUAGAUAUGCGGAGGAACACCGAUGGCGAAGGCAAUCCCCUGGGCCUGCACUGACGCUCAUGCACGAAAGCGUGGGGAGCAAACAGG
RNAcentral lists this ribosomal RNA (253 nucleotides) under uncultured bacterium. Its description in RNAcentral is "partial 16S ribosomal RNA". It matches the Rfam family "Bacterial small subunit ribosomal RNA", at positions 524 to 776 of the family's 1533-position model. The record is from RNAcentral.